RNAcentral lists this ribosomal RNA (674 nucleotides) under Thermaerobacter sp. enrichment culture. RNAcentral describes it as "bacterial SSU rRNA". It matches the Rfam family "Bacterial small subunit ribosomal RNA", at positions 727 to 1397 of the family's 1533-position model. The record is from RNAcentral. Lineage: Bacteria; Bacillati; Bacillota; Clostridia; Eubacteriales; Clostridiales Family XVII. Incertae Sedis.
GCCUGGCCUGUCCCUGACGAUGAGGCGCGACAGCGUGGGGAGCGAACGGGAUUAGAUACCCCGGUAGUCCACGCCGUAAACGAUGGGUGCUAGGUGUGGGAGGUAUCGACCCCUUCCGUGCCGGAGCUAACGCACUAAGCACCCCGCCUGGGGAGUACGGCCGCAAGGCUGAAACUCAAAGGAAUUGACGGGGGCCCGCACAAGCGGUGGAGCAUGUGGUUUAAUUCGAAGCAACGCGAAGAACCUUACCUGGGCUUGACAUCACCGCGAACCUGGCCGAAAGGCUGGGGUGCCCUUCGGGGAGCGCGGUGACAGGUGCUGCAUGGUUGUCGUCAGCUCGUGUCGUGAGAUGUUGGGUUAAGUCCCGCAACGAGCGCAACCCCCGCCCUGUGUUGCCAGCGGUUUGGCCGGGCACUCACAGGGGACUGCCGGUGACAAACCGGAGGAAGGUGGGGAUGACGUCAAAUCAUCAUGGCCCUUAUGCCCAGGGCUACACACGUGCUACAAUGGCCGGUACAACGGGUUGCGAACCCGCGAGGGGGAGCCAAUCCCUAAAAGCCGGUCCCAGUUCGGAUCGCAGGCUGCAACUCGCCUGCGUGAAGCCGGAAUCGCUAGUAAUCGCGGAUCAGAAUGCCGCGGUGAAUACGUUCCCGGGCCUUGUACACACCGCCCGU